RNAcentral lists this long non-coding RNA (268 nucleotides) under Mytilus galloprovincialis (Mediterranean mussel). Lineage: Eukaryota; Metazoa; Mollusca; Bivalvia; Mytilida; Mytilidae. The record is from RNAcentral.
GUUUCCCCUUUUUUGUCCCUAAUUGCUUGAUGGUUUGAAUGCCAACAUUUGGGACCAUUACCCCCAAAAUAAAUUCAAACCUUCUACCUGUGGUAUUAAACAUUGAUGGUACAAUUUCAGAGCAAUUGAAAUGCUUAUACACUAGUUGAUAUCCUGAAAGUCUAAAAAUGCUUGUGUUGGGUCCCUUAUUACAAAACAGUAGGGACCAUCAUCCCCAAAAUCAAUCCCAACCUUCCUUUUGAGGUAUUGAACCUUUUUCUUAAAUUUC